CGGAGGGUGCAAGCGUUAUCCGGAUUUACUGGGUUUAAAGGGUGCGCAGGCGGAUAUGUAAGUCAGUGGUGAAAUCUUUUGGGCUUAACCCGAAAAUUGCCAUUGAUACUAUAUAUCUUGAAUGCUGUGGAGGUAAGCGGAAUAUGUCAUGUAGCGGUGAAAUGCUUAGAUAUGACAUAGAACACCUAUUGCGAAGGCAGCUUACUACGCAGAGAUUGACGCUCAUGCACGAAAGCGUGGGGAUCAAACAGGAUUAGAUACCCUGGUAGUCCACGCCCUAAACGAUGAUUACUCGACAUACGCGAUACACAGUGUGUGUCUGAGCGAAAGCAUUAAGUAAUCCACCUGGGAAGUACGACCGCAAGGUUG
RNAcentral lists this ribosomal RNA (369 nucleotides) under uncultured organism. Its description in RNAcentral is "bacterial SSU rRNA". It matches the Rfam family "Bacterial small subunit ribosomal RNA", at positions 526 to 896 of the family's 1533-position model. The record is from RNAcentral.